GCUGGGCAUGGUGCUGCACCCCUGUAAUCCCAGCGGCUGGGGAGGCUGAGGCAGGAGGAUCCUGAGUUCAAAGCAGCCUCCGCAACAUAGUGAGGCCCUAAGCAACUCAGUGAGACCCUGUCUCUA
This 126-nucleotide small RNA is filed under the name Marmota monax (woodchuck). The record is from RNAcentral. Lineage: Eukaryota; Metazoa; Chordata; Mammalia; Rodentia; Sciuridae.